Molecule: ribosomal RNA, 443 nt
Filed under: uncultured bacterium
Lineage: Bacteria
Description: partial 16S ribosomal RNA
Rfam family: Bacterial small subunit ribosomal RNA
Source: RNAcentral
CCUACGGGAGGCAGCAGUGGGGAAUAUUGGGCAAUGGAGGCAACUCUGACCCAGCAAUGCCGCGUGAGUGAUGAAGGUAAUUUUAUUGUAAAGCUCUUUUCUUUGGAACGAAUAAAUGACGGUACCAAAGGAAUAAGCCCCGGCUAACUACGUGCCAGCAGCCGCGGUAAUACGUAGGGGGCAAGCGUUGUUCGGAAUGACUGGGCGUAAAGGGUGUGUAGGUGGUUUGAUAAGUUAGAUGUGUAAUACCCAGGGCUUAACUCGGGUGCUGCAUCUAAAACUGUUAGACUUGAGUACUGGAGAGGAUAGUGGAAUUCCUAGUGUAGCGGUGGAAUGCAUAGAUAUCACGCAGAACCCCGAUUGCGAAGGCAGCAUGCCGGCUUCCGACUGACGCUGAAGCACGAAAGCGUGGGGAUCGAACAGGAUUAGAUACCCUUGUAGUC